Molecule: non-coding RNA, 27 nt
Filed under: Bombyx mori (domestic silkworm)
Lineage: Eukaryota; Metazoa; Arthropoda; Insecta; Lepidoptera; Bombycidae
Source: RNAcentral
UAGCUAAGACAAAACUCGCUGUACAAA